Molecule: ribosomal RNA, 1537 nt
Filed under: human gut metagenome
Description: bacterial LSU rRNA
Rfam family: Bacterial large subunit ribosomal RNA
Source: RNAcentral
AGGUUGGCUCAGAAGCAGCCAUCCUUUAAAGAGUGCGUAACAGCUCACUAGUCGAAUGACUCUGCGCCGAUAAUUUACCGGGGCUAAGCAUACUACCGAAGCUAUGGAUCCCAAGGGAUGGUAGGGGAGCGUUCCAUGAACGGAGAAGUACGACCGAAAGGACGUGUGGAGAUCAUGGAAGAGAGAAUGCCGGUGUGAGUAGCGGAACGUGGGUGAGAAUCCCACGCACCGAAAACCCAAGGUUUCCAGAGGAAGGUUCGUCCGCUCUGGGUAAGUCGGGACCUAAGGCGAGGCCGAAAGGCGUAGUCGAUGGACAACAGGUAGAGAUUCCUGUACCCGUAUAUAUGUGAAGGAAUGACGGAGAGAGGAAGCUGCAGCCAGCGGCUGGAAGAGCUGGUGCAAGCGAGAUAUCGGGAUGGCAGGCAAAUCCACCAUCCGAAACGAGAAGGCGUGAAGCGUACGGAAAGCUACGGCGAGUACGGAAGGCAGUGGAGGAACUUCCAAGAAAAGUUUCUAACGUUAAGUAUAUAUGGCCCGUACCGAAAAUGGACACACAUGGGUGAGGAGAGAAUCCUAAGGUGAGCGAGAGAACUAUAGCUAAGGAACUCUGCAAAAUGACUCCGUAACUUAGGGAGAAGGAGUGCUCAUAGAGAUAUGAGCCGCAGUGAAACGGCCCAAGCGACUGUUUACCAAAAACACAGCUCUCUGCUAAGCCGCAAGGCGAAGUAUAGGGGGUGACGCCUGCCCGGUGCUGGAAGGUUAAGGGGAGGGGUUAACGCAAGUGAAGCCCUGAACUGAAGCCCCAGUAAACGGCGGCCGUAACUAUAACGGUCCUAAGGUAGCGAAAUUCCUUGUCAGGUAAGUUCUGACCCGCACGAAAGGCGUAACGAUUUGGGCGCUGUCUCAGCUGUAGACUCGGUGAAGUCUUAGUACCUGUGAAGAUGCAGGUUACCCGCGACUAGACGGAAAGACCCCAUGGAGCUUCACUGCAGGUUGAUAUUGGGAUUUGAUGCAGCAUGUACAGGAUAGGUAGGAGGCAAAGAGAUGGAUACGCCAGUAUUCAAGGAGCCGCUGUUGGGAUACUACCCCUGUUGUAUUGGAUUUCUAACCGGACGACGUAGAGCCGUUGACGGGACAGUGUCAGUCGGGCAGUUUGACUGGGGCGGUCGCCUCCCAAAGAGUAACGGAGGCGCCCAAAGAUACCCUCAGCUUGGAUGGAAACCAAGCGCAGAGUGCAAAGGCAAAAGGGUGUUUGACUGCGAGACCCACAAGUCGAGCAGGGACGAAAGUCGGGCUUAGUGAUCCGGCGGUGCUGAAUGGAAAGGCCGUCGCUCAACGGAUAAAAGCUACCCUGGGGAUAACAGGCUGAUCUCCCCCAAGAGUUCACAUCGACGGGGAGGUUUGGCACCUCGAUGUCGGCUCAUCGCAUCCUGGAGCUGAAGUCGGUUCCAAGGGUUGGGCUGUUCGCCCAUUAAAGCGGUACGCGAGCUGGGUUCAGAACGUCGUGAGACAGUUCGGUCCCUAUCUGUCGUGGGCG